Molecule: ribosomal RNA, 194 nt
Filed under: uncultured Comamonas sp.
Lineage: Bacteria; Pseudomonadati; Pseudomonadota; Betaproteobacteria; Burkholderiales; Comamonadaceae
Description: partial 16S ribosomal RNA
Rfam family: Bacterial small subunit ribosomal RNA
Source: RNAcentral
CCUACGGGAGGCAGCAGUGGGGAAUUUUGGACAAUGGGCGCAAGCCUGAUCCAGCAAUGCCGCGUGCAGGACGAAGGCCUUCGGGUUGUAAACUGCUUUUGUACGGAGCGAAAAGGCUCUCUCUAAUACAGGGGGUUCAUGACGGUACCGUAAGAAUAAGCACCGGCUAACUACGUGCCAGCAGCCGCGGUAAU